RNAcentral lists this ribosomal RNA (253 nucleotides) under uncultured bacterium. RNAcentral's name for it is "partial 16S ribosomal RNA". It matches the Rfam family "Bacterial small subunit ribosomal RNA", at positions 524 to 776 of the family's 1533-position model. The record is from RNAcentral.
UACAAAGGGUGCAAGCGUUGUCCGGAAUCACUGGGCGUAAAGGGCGCGUAGGCGGCCUGAUAAGUAGGGGGUGAAAUCCUGGGGCUUAACCUCAGGGCUGCCUUCUAGACUGUCCGGCUCGAGCACAGUAGAGGCAGGUGGAAUUCCCGGUGUAGCGGUGGAAUGCGUAGAGAUCGGGAAGAACAUCGGUGGCGAAGGCGGCCUGCUGGGCUGUUGCUGACGCUGAGGCGCGACAGCGUGGGGAGCAAACAGG